UACGGGGGGGGCAAGCGUUGUUCGGAAUUACUGGGCGUAAAGGGCGCGUAGGCGGGAUGGCAAGUCGGUCGUGAAAUCCUUCGGCUCAACCGAAGAACGUCGAUCGAUACUGCUGUUCUUGAGGGUUGCAGAGGAGACUGGAAUUCCCGGUGUAGCGGUGAAAUGUGUAGAGAUCGGGAGGAACACCGGUGGCGAAGGCGGGUCUCUGGGCAAUUCCUGACGCUGAGGCGCGAAAGCGUGGGGAGCAAACGGG
This 253-nucleotide ribosomal RNA is filed under the name uncultured bacterium. RNAcentral's name for it is "partial 16S ribosomal RNA". It matches the Rfam family "Bacterial small subunit ribosomal RNA", at positions 524 to 776 of the family's 1533-position model. The record is from RNAcentral.